AGGAGGUCGGGGAGCAGACCUGUGGAGCUGUGGAGGUGACGGCUGUCUGAGACGGAGCGUCUGCCUCUGCUUUUCAGGCCUGUUUCUGCUGACUGCUGCAGGUGAGCUGAUGUUCCUACACCUGUCUGUCCUCAUCAUGACCUCUGACCUUUGGUGACCUUUAGUGACCUCUGUCCUGUUGCAGCUCCUCCUCCCUGUGAGUCUGUGCUGAGGCUCUUCUGCCAUCUAGUGGUCUUCUGUCCGUACUGCAUCUCCACUGGUCUGCUGCUGUCCAUCUCUUGGAGCAGAAAACAACCAAACAAACCGUCCGUCUCCAUGGAGAUGAGCCAGCGUGAUGGAGGAGGUCAGGGACUGGUUGAAGAUGAUGAUGAUGUCACUGCUGAUGUCACCACUGAGCAUGCCUUCUGAGCUGCAGACUG
Long non-coding RNA from Oreochromis aureus, 419 nucleotides. NCBI's taxonomy places the organism in Eukaryota, Metazoa, Chordata, Actinopteri, Cichliformes, Cichlidae. The record is from Ensembl.